AUAUCAAUAAGCGGAGGAAAAGAAACCAACAGGGAUUGCCCCAGUAACGGCGAGUGAAGCGGCAUCAGCUCAAAUUUGAAAUCUGGCGUCUUCGGCGUCCGAGUUGUAAUUUGUAGAGAGUGUCUCGGGUGGAGCACCGGUCCAAGUCCCUUGGAACAGGAUAUCAUAGAGGGUGAGAAUCCCGUAUCCGGCCGGCCCCCUCCCCCGCUGUGAGGCCUCUUCGACGAGUCGAGUUGUUUGGGAAUGCAGCUCUAAAUUGGAGGUAAAUUCCUUCUAAAGCUAAAUACUGGCCAGAGACCGAUAGCGCACAAGUAGAGUGAUCGAAAGAUGAAAAGCACUUUGAAAAGAGAGUCAAACAGUACGUGAAAUUGUUGAAAGGGAAGCGUAUGCGGCCAGACUUGUCCCCAGUUGCUCAGCCCGUCUUUUGGCGGGUGUACUCUUCUGGGGCCAGGCCAGCAUCGGUUUGGGCGGUCGGAUAAAGACGUCAGGAAUGUGGCCCCCCUCGUGGGGUGUUAUAGCCUGGCGUG
Molecule: ribosomal RNA, 527 nt
Filed under: Troposporella fumosa
Lineage: Eukaryota; Fungi; Ascomycota; Dothideomycetes; Venturiales; Sympoventuriaceae
Description: Helicoma fumosum partial 28S ribosomal RNA
Rfam family: Eukaryotic large subunit ribosomal RNA
Source: RNAcentral